This 1074-nucleotide long non-coding RNA is filed under the name Nothobranchius furzeri (turquoise killifish). RNAcentral's name for it is "lncRNA (ENSNFUG00015013778.1)". The record is from RNAcentral. Lineage: Eukaryota; Metazoa; Chordata; Actinopteri; Cyprinodontiformes; Nothobranchiidae.
AUGUUCAGUGUGGUACUCACCCUGUAUGACCGGUGUCAGAUCUUGGUCUGCAUUGCCGGCAGUAAGUCGGGCUCGUUUCCAGUGAGAGUUGGACUCUGCCAAGGCUGCUCUUUGUCACCAAUUCUGUUCAUAACCUUUAUGGACAGGAUUUCUAGGCGCAGCCAAGGUGUGGAGGGCAUCCGUUUUGGUGGCCUGAGGAUCAGGUCUCUGCUUUUUGCAGAUGAUGUGGUCCUGUUGGCUUCAUCAGAACGUGAUCUUCAGCUUUUGCUGGAGCGGUUCACAGCCGGGAUGAGAAUCAGCUCCUCUAAAUCUGAGACCAUGGCCUUGAUUCGGAAAAGGGUAGAAUGCCUUCUCAGGGUCAGGGAUGAGGUCCUGCCCAAAGUGGAGGAGUUUAAGUAUCUCGGGGUCUUGUUCACGAGUGAGGGGAAGCUGGAGCGUGAAAUCGAUAGGCAGAUUGGUGCUGCAUCUGCAGUGAUGCGGGCGUUGUACCGGUCUGUCGUGGUGAAGAGAGAGCUGAGUCAGAAGGCGAAGCUCUUGAUUUACCGGUUGAUCUACGUUCCUACCCUCAAAUAUGGUCAUGAGCUUUGGGUAGUGACCGAAAGAACAAGAUCGCUGAUACAAGCGGCCGAAAUGUGUUUUCUCCGAAGAGUGGCUGGGCUCUCCCUUAGAGAUAGAAUGAGAAGCUCGGUCAUCCGGGAGGGGCUCAGAGUGGAUUCGCUGCUCCUCCACAUCGAGAGGAGCCAGUUGAGGUGGCUCGGGCAUCUGGUGAGGAUGCCUCCUGGACGCCUCCCUGGUGAGGUUUUCCAGGCACGUCCAACCGGGAGGAGACCUAAAGGGAGACCCAGGACACGGUGGAGGGACUAUGUCUCUCACCUGGCCAGAGAAUGCCUUGGGAUUCCCCCGGAGGAGCUGGCCCAAGUGGCUGGGGAGAGGGAAGUCUGGGCCUCUCGCCUUAAGCUACUGCCCCAUGACCCGACUCCGGAUAAGCGGACGAAAUGGAUGGAUGGAUGGAUGGAUGGAUGGAUGGAUGGAUGGAUGGAUGGAUGGAUGGAUGGAUGGAUGGACUCACCCUGA